AUUAAUUGGAAUAAUGCUUUAUAAGUUCAUAUAAUAUAUUUGUGCUUAGGAGAUAUUAUAUUCAACAUUAGCAAUAGUAAUAUACACAUGUGACAAAUGAAUCAUAAAUUUGUUUUGUAGUUUUCAAACUUUUUUUCUUCUGAUUUUUAGUUUUUCAAAGCAAUUCUUGCUAGGUAUCAUUGAUUUCUUUGGCCUAAUUUCCCAAAUAUAAGGCUAAUUCUUGAAGUCUUGAUUAACAUGCUACUGCUUAUGGACAUUAUUAGCCUUUAUUAUAUUUGGUUUCCUUUUGCAAUAUUUUGUUAUUACCAUAAGUCUAGUUAUUUAUAAGCUAAAGAGCAAAUGAAAUUUGACUAGUUUUGAACUUGAAAUUGUCCAUGUUGAAUAUUUUCUCUUAAUCUCUGAUGUUCGGGUGAUAAACCUUGAAUGGGAUGGCGAGGAUAAUGGUUAAGAACAUUUUCUAAUUUUUGCUUGGAAAGCAAUUGAAGAAAAAACAAAAAAGGAGAAAAGGGAGGGUAAUAGAGAAUGGUAAGAUAUAUUGACUUUGGAAAAUUAAAUGAAAUUCAUUUCUCAUCCAUUUCAAACUUGGCCUAUUAUUGUCAAAAAUUAAAAGGAAAAGUGUUGUAAGUUAUAGUAAUGCUAGCGCAUGUGUUCUUAGGUGUCUACCUUUGACAUAGAGAUUCAACCAUUUUUUUAAAUGGGCCCAUGGUCAUCUUUGGCUCUUAAUCUUUUUCUCUAAUUAGAAAGGAAACUUCAUAAGCUGAGCAGUGGCAAUUUGCUGAUGACCCAAAGAAUAUGAUUUUAUGUUGGGAGUUGUUUGUUUUAGUUGGAUAAGCUAAACGAAAGUUGUUGUCUCCUUAAUAUGGACAUAUAGACUAUCUUGCACACUUGGUUUAUUUAGGGCAUUCCCUCUCCUUAUAGAUUCACAAUGUUAGUAAAAACUUUCUGAUUGUCUUUUGAAAAAUUGCUAAUCUUGUUUUGAAAAGUUUCUAAUUUUCUUUUGAAUUGAAUAAAACUCCAACUUGAUCCAUGAAUAAACUUGAUCUCAUCUUAGGCAUCAUUUGAUGCAUUUCUUGUUUUUAGUUGUGACCAAUUUGCCUUUUCAUGUCAAAUUGGCCCAUUUAUUUAACUGUAUCAAACUAACCCAUUUAUUUAGUCAUGUCAAAAUGACCUAUUUACUAAAUCAUGUGAAAACAAUUUGUUUACUCAAUCACAUCAAAACGACCCAUUUAUAUAAUUGCUUCAAAAUAAUCCAUUUACUUAAUAUUGUUAAUUAUCCGAUUACUUAAUCAUGUCAAAAUGAUUCGUUUACUUGAUCAUGUCAAAAUAAUCUGUUUACUUGAUCAUGUCAAAAUGACCUAUUUACCUAGGGGUCUCCAACGGUCGGGCCGGGCCGUAAAUAGGAGGCCUGCGGCCCAGCUCGGGCCGGGCCUAUGGGCCCGUUGACUGGUCAACGGGUCGGGCCGGGUCGGGCCAUGCUAAAAUGCUAGGUCCGCGGCUCGGCCUAUGAGCCCGCGGGCUGGCGGGUGGGUCAGGCCGGUGGGCUUUUUGAAUUAAGCCAAAAUGGCUUUCAAAAAAACCAAGGGAAGGGAGAGGGAGGGAUUCGAACCGCUCCCUUCAUGUUUAAACUUUAAGCUUCUAAUCAGCUAAACUACAUUCUUUUUAUGUUUAUUAAUUGAGUUAGUUAUAUAUAUAUAUAAAUAAAGUAUAUUAUUUUUAAAAAAAAAAUUAAAGGCUCCAACCCAUGUGAUCGUUGGAGCUAAGCCUCCAACGGUCACAUGGCCAAUUAUUUUGAAUUUUGAAUUUUUUUUUUUAACCUUCCUAUAAAUACAUUUUCUUCCUUUUCAUUUUUUCAUCAAAUUCUCUCUAUUUCUCUCACAUUCUACAAUAUUUCAAAUUCUUUUAUUUUUCCCUCAAAUUAUAUAAUAUUGUUGGUGGUGCAAAACAAGCAUUGGUGGCUCUAAGAGUUCAAAUUGUGGACCCUAGAUUGAAAUUUGAAGCUUUGGAUGAAUGGUUAACAAUUAUUUAUUUUAAUGACCAAAUAAAAAUUGAAGAAAUUAAAAAUGAAAUAAAUUCAUUAUUAUAUAAUUUAUAUAACUAUUAUAAAGAAAAAUAUGGUAAUGAUAUUAAUACUAUUAAAUUACCACCUACAUCUACAAACUCCUCAUCUUUUUAUAAAGAAGCUCUAGAAAUGUUGAAAAAUCGAAAAAAAACAACAAAUAGUUCUUCAAAUAAUACAUCUGAUUUAGAUAAAUAUCUUAAUACUGAUAUAAUUUCAUUUGAAGAUCAAAAAGAUUUUGAUAUUUUAAUAUGGUGGAAAUCACAUCAACACAAAUAUCUUGUGCUUUCUAUAAUUGCUCGUGAUGUACUAACAGUUCCUGUGUUUUUAGUGCAGGUGGAAGAGUUAUUAGUAAAAAACGAUGCAACUUAGCGUCAGACGUUAUUGAAGCAGGGAUAUGUGUAAAAGAUUGGGAAAUAGCAGAUAAAAGGAUGUACGAUUCCAUUCGAGAAACAGAGAUGCUUGCCAAUAUGGAAUCUUUAAAACUAUCAAGAUCUUCAUGGAUGCAUGAUAGUUCGCCAUCACCGCCAGAAAAUAAUGACUAAAUGUAUAUUAUAUUUUUAUUUUUAUUUUUUGUAGUUGAAAAAUACAGAUGAUUGACAAAUAAAUAGGUGUCAACCUAGUUGGGAUGUAUUUAUUUUGUAGUGAUGUAAAUUUUUCCCAUAUUUUCAAAUGUAAUUAUACAUUUAAUGAAUAAAAUUUUGAAAUGAAU
Molecule: long non-coding RNA, 2768 nt
Filed under: Vitis vinifera (wine grape)
Lineage: Eukaryota; Viridiplantae; Streptophyta; Magnoliopsida; Vitales; Vitaceae
Description: long non-coding RNA (VVIN_LNC006759)
Source: RNAcentral